RNAcentral lists this ribosomal RNA (709 nucleotides) under Arthrobacter sp. Its description in RNAcentral is "bacterial SSU rRNA". It matches the Rfam family "Bacterial small subunit ribosomal RNA", at positions 164 to 873 of the family's 1533-position model. Lineage: Bacteria; Bacillati; Actinomycetota; Actinomycetes; Micrococcales; Micrococcaceae. The record is from RNAcentral.
UAAUACUGGAUAUUGACUUUACCUCGCAUGGGGUUUUGUUGAAAGCUUUAGUGGUUUUGGAUGGACUCGCGGCCUAUCAGCUUGUUGGUGAGGUAAUGGCUCACCAAGGCGACGACGGGUAGCCGGCCUGAGAGGGUGACCGGCCACACUGGGACUGAGACACGGCCCAGACUCCUACGGGAGGCAGCAGUGGGGAAUAUUGCACAAUGGGCGAAAGCCUGAUGCAGCGACGCCGCGUGAGGGAUGACGGCCUUCGGGUUGUAAACCUCUUUCAGUAGGGAACAAGGCUACACGUUGUGUGGUUGAGGGUACUUGCAGAAGAAGCACCGGCUAACUACGUGCCAGCAGCCGCGGUAAUACGUAGGGUGCAAGCGUUAUCCGGAAUUAUUGGGCGUAAAGAGCUCGUAGGCGGUUUGUCGCGUCUGCCGUGAAAGUCCGGGGCUCAACCCCGGAUCUGCGGUGGGUACGGGCAGACUAGAGUGAUGUAGGGGAGACUGGAAUUCCUGGUGUAGCGGUGAAAUGCGCAGAUAUCAGGAGGAACACCGAUGGCGAAGGCAGGUCUCUGGGCAUUAACUGACGCUGAGGAGCGAAAGCAUGGGGAGCGAACAGGAUUAGAUACCCUGGUAGUCCAUGCCGUAAACGUUGGGCACUAGGUGUGGGGGACAUUCCACGUUUUCCGCGCCGUAGCUAACGCAUUAAGUGCCCCGCC